AGGACGAACGCUGGCGGCGCGCUUAAUACAUGCAAGUCGAGCGAGAACCAGGGCUUCGGCUCUGGGGACAGCGGCGAACGGGUGAGUAACACGUGGGUAAUCAACCCCCGACACCGGGAUAGCCCAGGGAAACUUGGAUUAAUACCGGAUGCUCCGUCUGGCUUUAGGGCCGGCCGGAAAAGGGUAGCUUCGGCCUCCGGUCGGGGACGAGCCCGCGGCGGAUUAGCUUGUUGGUGAGGUAAAGGCUCACCAAGGCGACAAUCCGUAGCUGGUCUGAGAGGACGAUCAGCCACACUGGGACUGAGACACGGCCCAGACUCCUACGGGAGGCAGCAGUAGGGAAUCUUGCGCAAUGGGCGAAAGCCUGACGCAGCGACGCCGCGUGAGGGAAGAAGGCCUUCGGGUUGUAAACCUCUUUCAGGAGGACGAAGCCACUCGGGUUAAUAGCCUAGAGGGUGACGGUACCUCCAGAAGAAGCCCGGCUAACGUACGUGCCAGCAGCCGCGGU
This 508-nucleotide ribosomal RNA is filed under the name uncultured bacterium. Its description in RNAcentral is "SSU rRNA". It matches the Rfam family "Bacterial small subunit ribosomal RNA", at positions 26 to 521 of the family's 1533-position model. The record is from RNAcentral.